Molecule: ribosomal RNA, 494 nt
Filed under: uncultured bacterium
Lineage: Bacteria
Description: partial 16S ribosomal RNA
Rfam family: Bacterial small subunit ribosomal RNA
Source: RNAcentral
GACGAACGCUGGCGGCGUGCUUAACACAUGCAAGUCGAACGGUGAAGCGCCUUCCUUUUUGGUGGGUGUGGAUGAGUGGCGAACGGGUGAGCAACACGUGAGUAACCUUCUCCCUUCUUCUGGACAACCGCAAGAAAGUGUGGCUAAUACGGGAUAUUUUGGGUCUGUCGCAUGAUGGGUCUGGGAAAGAUAUUGUGUCGGUUGGGGAUGGGCUCGCGGCCUAUCAGCUUGUUGGUGGGGUGAUGGCCUACCAAGGCGGUGACGUGUAGCCGCCCUGGGAGGGUGGACGGUAACAGGGGGGCGGCACGGUCGACACGACUACGGGAGGCGGCAGCAGGGAGGAAUACGGCAUGAGGGGGGGCUUGUCGGUGCAGCGCCGCCUGGGUGGUGAUGGUGGCCGGCGGGUUAUGAACCGCUUUUGCCGGUGAAGAAGUCUGGACUUGUCUGUGGGUGGCUUGACGGUACCUGAUUAGGAAGCCCCGGCUAACUACGUG